CGAACGUUAGCGGCGCGCUUAACACAUGCAAGUCGUACGAGAACGCUUCCUUCGGGGAGUUAUUAAAGUGGCGCACGGGUGAGUAACACGUGGGUAUCUACCUUUCGGCGGGGGACAACACCUGGAAACGGGUGCUAAUACCGCAUACGUCUGCUUCGGCAGGGAAAGAUGGCCUCUUCUUGAAAGCUAUCACCGGAAGAUGAGCCCGCGACCCAUCAGCUUGUUGGUAGGGUAAAAGCCUACCAAGGCUACGACGGGUAGCUGGUCUGAGAGGAUGAUCAGCCACACUGGAACUGAGACACGGUCCAGACUCCUACGGGAGGCAGCAGUGGGGAAUAUUGCGCAAUGGGCGAAAGCCUGACGCAGCGACGCCGCGUGGGUGAUGAAGGAUUUCGGUUCGUAAAGCCCUGUGGGAGAAGGAAGAACAACCUAGCGGAACAAUACCCGUUAGGUCUGACGGUACUUCUCCAGAAAGCACCGGCUAACUCC
This 489-nucleotide ribosomal RNA is filed under the name uncultured bacterium. Its description in RNAcentral is "bacterial SSU rRNA". It matches the Rfam family "Bacterial small subunit ribosomal RNA", at positions 30 to 504 of the family's 1533-position model. The record is from RNAcentral.